Molecule: transfer RNA, 73 nt
Filed under: Xanthomonas phage X1
Lineage: Duplodnaviria; Heunggongvirae; Uroviricota; Caudoviricetes
Description: tRNA-Thr
Rfam family: tRNA
About the family: Transfer RNA (tRNA) molecules are approximately 80 nucleotides in length. Their secondary structure includes four short double-helical elements and three loops (D, anti-codon, and T loops). Further hydrogen bonds mediate the characteristic L-shaped molecular structure. tRNAs have two regions of fundamental functional importance: the anti-codon, which is responsible for specific mRNA codon recognition, and the 3' end, to which the tRNAs corresponding amino acid is attached (by aminoacyl-tRNA synthetases). tRNAs cope with the degeneracy of the genetic code in two manners: having more than one tRNA (with a specific anti-codon) for a particular amino acid; and 'wobble' base-pairing, i.e. permitting non-standard base-pairing at the 3rd anti-codon position.
Source: RNAcentral
GCCCCGUUGGCUCAAUUGGCAGAGCAGCUGUUUUGUAAUCAGCAGGUUGGGAGUUCGAGUCUCUCACGGGGCA